UGAGCAAUCUGCCCUUCUCAUCGGAAUAAGCGUUGGAAACGACGUCUAAUGCCGAAUACGACCUACUUUCGCAUGAUCGGAGGUGGAAAGCUCCGGCGGAGAAGGAUGAGCUCGCGGCCUAUCAGCUAGUUGGUGUGGGUAAUGGCCCACCAAGGCGACGACGGGUAGCCGGCCUGAGAGGGUGACCGGCCACACUGGGACUGAGACACGGCCCAGACUCCUACGGGAGCAG
Molecule: ribosomal RNA, 232 nt
Filed under: uncultured bacterium
Lineage: Bacteria
Description: partial 16S ribosomal RNA
Rfam family: Bacterial small subunit ribosomal RNA
Source: RNAcentral